ACUAUACUAUCUAUAGUACCGAGCUCCGGUACUAUAGUGUUGGUUUUCGAUCUUAGGGCGUUCAAAUCAACGAUCCACACCGUUAAAACUGAUCUAGGGUAUUUAAAGUUUCUAGAAAUAAAAUUUUAUACUUUUUCGACAUAGUUUACUUCAUGAUCAAACUAUUUCAAAAUUGUCAAUUUUCAAUGGCUAUUAUGACGAGUUUGGAGUUUAACGGUGUAGAAGAAUCUAAAUUUCUAUAUAUAUAUAUAUAUAUAUAUAUAUAUAUAUAAUAAAUCUUUAUUAAUUAUUCGAGUUUUAGCCCAAUUGGCCUUGAUAUAAAAUCCAAUUAUAAAAUAGCCUAUUUAAUUAUAAGUAAAUUUUCAAAUAUUAAAUCAAAAUAUAAUAAGUAAUAUCUCAUAAUUUAAAUUGUUGCUUGUGAACUAACUCGUAUUUUUUGUUAAUAAAUGAGCCAAAUACGAACUGAAUUUUUAGAUUCGAUACUUUAACUAGCCAACUCGUGUUCGGCUCGUUGACACCUCUAGUGAUACAUAGGAUUAUAAAAGUUGAGAAGGGUAAAUUACAGUAGUAAUUACUGAAAUUUUAUUGAAAUUGUUUUAAUUGAGAUUCUUAAUGAUAAUUUCUAGUUUAAUCCAUUGCUCAAAUUUAAAUUAAUUUUUCUGAAAAAAAUAUGGAUAUGGUGAGUAAUUUUUAGUGAUUAAGAAAUGGUAAAGGGAUAUAUAAGUGCUUCAACUGCUAUAUUAUUUCAAAACUAAUGGCAAAAUAAAAUUAUAUUCAAUUUUUUAAAGUUUCAUAAAUUUUAGUUGAAAAAGAUAUAUAGAGUAUUUGACAAUCUCGUUUUUAAAAUCCGAUUCUUAUUUUUAGAAUCAAUUUUCUAAUUUUUUUAAGACCCAAAAUUAGAAAUAGCUAAAACCUGCUUCUUGAAAUUUUAUUCUAAUUUUACACUCAUAUUUUUAAUUUUUCUUUCAUUUUUAGAUUCAAAUUUUAAAGUUUAAAUUCAAAUUUUUAAUUUUAGAUUUGAAUUUUUAAAUUUUAAUUUUAAUUUUAAUUUUUAAACUUUAAAUUUAAAUUUUAAAAUUUUAAAUUUAGAUAUUAAAAUUUAAAAUUCAAAUUUAGCCAAAUACUCUGCAGUUUUUAAUCAAAAUUAUUUCUUCAAACUCAAAUUAAUUUUUCAGAAUUUA
Molecule: long non-coding RNA, 1181 nt
Filed under: Ananas comosus (pineapple)
Lineage: Eukaryota; Viridiplantae; Streptophyta; Magnoliopsida; Poales; Bromeliaceae
Description: long non-coding RNA (ACOM_LNC030167)
Source: RNAcentral